Molecule: RNA transcript, 2979 nt
Organism: Panicum virgatum (switchgrass)
Lineage: Eukaryota; Viridiplantae; Streptophyta; Magnoliopsida; Poales; Poaceae
Exons: 3
Source: RefSeq, a predicted model, not a curated record
CAGCCCCUCAACCGGCCAGCGUUCGAAUCCCACGAAAAACAAAUUUUGCGGCCCUACUCUGAAAAUCCAGCGCGGCCGCUCCCUCCCGCGCGCCUCCUGCAAACCUCGCCGCCAACCUCCCGCCGAACCCGUCGUGCGCCUCCCGCCGAGCCCCGCCCUCCGCCGAGCCCCGCCCUAUGCCUCCCGCCGAGGCCCGCCCUGCGCCGGCGGCCGGAGUGCCACGCGCCUCCCCCUCCAGCGGCCUGCGGGCUCGGAGCCGGCGGCCGGAGUGCCGCGCGCCUCCCCUCCAGUAGGAUUCGGGCUCGGACGCCGCCGCCGGGAGGCGCGCUGCCUGCGGGCUCGGCCACCGCAUCCGGGACGCGCCCCGCCUGCGGGCUCGGCUGCAGCCGCCGGCGCGCGCGCAGGCGCAGGUUUGGGGUGCCGCCGCCGGCCGCGCUGAGACGACGUCAGGACUGGGAUCGGCGACACAAUCUCCCGCGAACCUCGCCGCGACACCGCCGCCGACAGCACCCGUGGUCUGCCUGGACUAAGCCCGCCGCCGGCGCCGUCUCCCCCAGCACCCCCGCGGCAGCUCGAUUUGUACUUUCUGGUUUGCUCUGUCCUGCAGGUUCGACAGUUUGGUAACAGCAGCUGCAUCUCGACCAUCAGGCAAUAGAAACAGAAGCAGGGCUAUCGAAUGGCCUUGUGCUUAGCAGCUACAAGUGGUGUGCAACUGUCAUCAGUUCUACUAUCUGUCAAAAUAUUGUGGGUCAUUCUUUUCAUCUCAUCCACAGGUGCAGCAGCGACAGCAGCAUGUCAGCAGUUUUACUAAGUCAUCACUUAUCAGUUUUGCACUUCGUAAUGCAACUCGAUCUAGAUUCAGAGUAUCAUCUCGCCAUGAAUUUAAUCAUUGUGAAAUGUCAUUCUAUGCUAUACUGAAGCGACUGUUGCUCACAUUAUUUAAUCACUCCUUGCUUGCUUUGGCUGGUCAUUUGAAUUGAUUAGCUUUUGAACUAAAUGAACUUGAGCUCCUUUUGUAUGGCUUGUGCAUGUUACAUGUAUGGUUAAAUUAAAAUUAUUGCUCACAGGCCAUCACGUUUAUAACUGUGCUAUUCCAGACUUACAAUAGUAUGGCAGCCUUUCAUUUGUGAAUGUUUUAAGUAGUGGCCAGCUGCUAAUUAAUUUAGUAUCUUUCAUAUCUGAUCUGCAUAUUUGCCCUUGCUACUUCUUACAGUCUUUUUUGUUUAUUAAAAUUAGUAAUCUUUGCUACUUCUUUCAAAUGGUGGUUGCUGCAUAUCUGAGCAGCAAAUCCAUAUUAAACUAAUUUAGUAUGGCUACUUCUUUCAAAUUAGUAAUCUUUGCUCAGUCUUUUUUGUUUAUUAAAUUAAAUAAUUACUGUUUGUUCAUCCGGUGGUUGCUGCAGUAACUACGUACAUGACUUUUGCAUGCACAUUAGUUUAAUUCUCUUUCUUGAUCAAGUACACUCGCACAUUGCUUAGCAUACUGGUAUUUGCUUAUGUGAAGGAUAAAGUUAGCUUGCUGGUAUUUUGGUUCUGUUCAUGCUCUUAUUAUUUUUCUUUCUUGUAGUGUCAUCCUAUUGAAGCAUUACGGCUGAAGACUUGAAGCUGGAUGAUUGCAUAUAGACUAUGGAACAAUGUGAGAUUGUAAAGUAAAUUAGUCAAAAUAAUAUAAAAUUCAUGUAAUUGCAUGGAAGAUGGUAGGGAUGUUGGAAAUAUUUAGGUCUUGUGGAAUCUAAUUGGCCCUUAUUGAAAAUUUCAGGUGUGAAGGUACUAUGCCGGAUAGUUUUCUAAGUUCAGAUUUGAUUAGUGAUUUUCAGUAAAUAUAUCUAUAUCUUUUCUUAAUUCAGAUUCAAUCAUGGAUUGGGAUCAUGUGUUGUGGCCUAACAAAACAAUUAAACCUGUAUUUUUUUCCUUUUCCAAUUCUAAUGUUCUCAUAUGCUGCAGCCUUGAGCAUUUCUGUCAUAGCUAUAACAGCUCCUAAACAAGAAGUGUAACAAACAGGCAAUCCCUGUGAAAGAUAUUGAACAAUCAAAUUUGCAGGAGAAAAAUCGGAGCUGAGUUAUGCUUUGGAAUGGAGGAUAUAUCCACAAGGAACUAGCAAACACACUAGGAACGUUACUGAUGAUAACAAAAUGAAGCCACCAGUUCCAACUUCUAAAUCGACAGCUAGCAUGGUAGAUGACCCAUUUGUUGUUCUAGACACAGCCUCUGCUUCAGGUUCUGCAUCCCUAGGAAGAUCUGCAAAUCCCUUGGAAGAUCUAGAGAAGCCUGCAAACUCUGAAGGCAAGGCUGCUGUUAAUAGUUUAUUUGUUAUUUGAGGAACCAAUUACAUUUGACCAGGCCCCAAAAUCAGAUCGUUUGUUUGCCUCUGAACUCAAUGGUCAUGCCAAGGCCACCACUUACAGUAGAUUUCAGGCUUUCAGGCUCUUGAUAAGCAGUACUAUAACUUUCUUCUUUUUUCUUGGUAAAGUUUUAUACUUAACAUUCUCAAAUUGCAUUGCAGGAUUUCAGGCUCUUGAUGAGCAGUAUUAUAACUCAUGGCUUCAUAGGUUCUCUGAUGAAGAACUUUUGCUUUGUGUGUGCUUAUUGGAGUUCGUGUUUUUGCUAUAUCAGUUCCUAAAUUUGCCAUAAAUAUUACACGUUUUUUUAAAACGUACCGUUAGCACGGGCUAACUUACUAGUCCCAUUAAAAAGGAGGGAUGGGGGGGGGGCGCGGAGGAGGAGAAGCUGCUCUGAAUCUCUGAUGCAUGUGACAGGAUCAGGAGGAGAUUGUUGAAAAGAGCAAAAGCUCGCGAAGAAAGCAUUCAAACCAAGUACAGUAGCAUUCAAACCAGAAAGAGCAAAGACUGGCCUUGGAACAUUCUCUUUUGAACAUUACAGUGUACUUGAACCUGAACUCGCGGUUACCUCCUUGUAUGCAUUAAGACUCGAAGCAUGAUCAACUGAUCAAGCAUUAGAAGAAGCACUAGAUUAUCAUGUA